UCUACGGGAUGCAGCAGUGGGGGAUAUUGCACAAUGGGGGGAACCCUGAUGCAGCGACGCCGCGUGUGGGAAGACGGUCCUCUGGAUUGUAAACCACUGUCCCCAGGGACGAAAAUGACGGUACCUGGGGAGGAAGCUCGGGCUAACUACGUGCCAGCAGCCGCGGUAUUACGUAGGGAGCGAGCGUUGUCCGGAAUUACUGGGUGUAAAGGGAGCGUAGGCGGGGAUGCAAGUUGGGAGGCAAAACUACCGGCUCAACUGGUAGUCGCACUCACAACUGCAGCGCUUGAGUGAAGUAUAGGCAGGCGGAAUUCCUGGUGUAGCGGUGAAAUGCGUAGAUAUUAGGAGGAACACCAGUGGCGAAGGCGGCCUGCUGAGCUUUUACUGACGCUGAGGCUCGAAAGUGUGGGGAGCAAACAGGAUUAGAUACCCGUGUAGUC
This 440-nucleotide ribosomal RNA is filed under the name uncultured bacterium. RNAcentral's name for it is "partial 16S ribosomal RNA". It matches the Rfam family "Bacterial small subunit ribosomal RNA", at positions 338 to 795 of the family's 1533-position model. The record is from RNAcentral.